Molecule: ribosomal RNA, 472 nt
Filed under: uncultured Acholeplasma sp.
Lineage: Bacteria; Bacillati; Mycoplasmatota; Mollicutes; Acholeplasmatales; Acholeplasmataceae
Description: bacterial SSU rRNA
Rfam family: Bacterial small subunit ribosomal RNA
Source: RNAcentral
GGAAUUGACGGGACCCCGCACAAGCGGUGGAUCAUGUUGUUUAAUUCGAUGAUACGCGAAGAACCUUACCAGGUCUUGACAUCCCCCGCGAUGCUUUAGAGAUAAAGCGGAGGUAUUCGGGGAGACAGGUGGUGCAUGGUUGUCGUCAGCUCGUGUCGUGAGAUGUUGGGUUAAGUCCCGCAACGAGCGCAACCCCUAUUGCUAGUUACCAUCAUUAAGUUGGGGACUCUAGCGAGACUGCCAGUGAUAAACUGGAGGAAGGUGGGGAUGACGUCAAAUCAUCAUGCCCCUUAUGACCUGGGCUACAAACGUGAUACAAUGGCUGGAACAAAGGGAUGCGAAGCAGUGAUGUAGGAGCGAAACCCAUAAAAACAGUCUCAGUUCGGAUUGAAGUCUGCAACUCGACUUCAUGAAGUCGGAAUCGCUAGUAAUCGCGGAUCAGAACGCCGCGGUGAAUACGUUCUCGGGGUUU